RNAcentral lists this long non-coding RNA (4115 nucleotides) under Homo sapiens (human). Its description in RNAcentral is "HSALNT0385206". The record is from RNAcentral. Lineage: Eukaryota; Metazoa; Chordata; Mammalia; Primates; Hominidae.
CAGUGUCUCCGGCGUGUCCUGCAUCUCGGCAGCCAGCUCCUCUGCAGCUCAGGCCCCGUGAGUCACAGCCGCUUCCUCAAAUGCUUUGGCUGACCGCAUCCCCCCGCUCCGCCAGAACCCUGGAUGCCGGAGCCCUCCCAGCGAGAGCCGUGUUUAUUUUACUUUACAUACAUUUUCCAACCCGGAGCGGCUUCAACACAUGCAGCUCUUAGGCCCGGGCCGCACAUCUCAGAAGCCCCGUGUGCGACUUUGACUGCCGCACGAUCCUCUGCCGGGGGAGGUGGGCCCGCUGCGCUUUGGGAGCACCCGCGCCCGACACUGAGGUCUCGGUGCUGUCUUCGGCCUCUUCGCCCCUGAGGGUCCCCUCUGGGAGCAGAGGCGGUCGGAAAACCCUGGGGCUGAAGUGCAGGCUUCGGGAGGACGCGACCUGCCAAGAUCAGCUCCCGGCACGUGAUGGGAGCCUGGCUCACCUUCCCCCAGCACACGAUGGGGCUGCAGCCUCCCCGGUCAGCCUGGCCUGCUGGAAAGGAGCAGCUCUGUCUCCAGAGGCUUCUGGCGAAGCCCAUGGCCUCCCAAUGUUGGCUGAUUUAUAAGGAAAGAGGGGAAAGGCCAAGUGUGGAUGCCAUUAGCAUAACCUAAUCCAGACCCCAUGACAAGUCCAGGAUCCUGCAGGGAGAGGGCAUCCUUGAACGUGAAGGACUGGGUUUGGAAACUUGGCCUCCCGGAAGAAAGGUCUCCGGGCCCACCCACACCCCCCUUGUGGACGCCCCCGCAGUCUAAUACACUCCACAGUAAGACGGACCAGGAACAGCAGCAGCCUCCGGUGUCGGCCCAGUGAUCCGGGAGCUCAGAGUGUAGGUACCUGACGGCUUGACUCGUCCCCAGGACAAGGCCUUUUUGCUAAAAUAGCCUUCUCAUUGGCUGCGGCUUUGGAGGUGGCAGAAAUCAUACGUUUAAUCACGGCGCCCUCCUGCUUGCCAAGGUUAGCAGGGGCUGUACUGCUGUGCCCUCCUGUCCCUGGAGGCUCUGGUGGCCCCACUCCCCACACUGCCAGGCUGGGUGCCACGCUGCCGUGACCCCGGAAUUCAGCCUGUGGUGAUCGGUCUUCCCUAGCACGGAGCUGAGUUAGGGGCUCUAGAAUCAGUCCCAGCCACGUGAGGCUCUCCCUGGGAUGUGAGGGUCGUCUCGUCUGUUUACACGGGGGCCACAGUGCAGAUCCCAGCCCGGGCAGGGGAGGGGCAAAUCUAUGCCCACUUCAAGCUUCCACUUCUGCCCGCCUCAAAGUGCCGGAGACUCCGGCACCUCUGCGUUCCUCCUUCCCGGUAGGAACAGAAAGCUGGGAAAGGGCUGGGGUGGCAAGGAAGAGCCCCAGGAAGACGGGAGUGGCUCUCCCCACUCCCUAGAGGACCUCCCUCCCCCAAGCCCAUGGGCCGCCUUCUCCAGGGACUCUUCCCUGUCCCACCCACCGGGCAAGGUGGGCCCAGCAGGGUCUCCUUUUCACCGUGCGCCCCCUCCUGUGGCCGGGUCCUGGGCUAAUGACCUCACAUGCUGCUUUUACAAGUCAGGUUUAUUGCGGUAUCACGUACACACAUAAGGCUCACCCGUUUUCGAUGUACAGCCGACGACUUGGUAAGGGUCUAGAGUGGGGCACUUCUGCCCCGACAGAGGCAGCCCACAUUUUGCCCCUCUGCAGUCAGGCCCCUUCCCGGCCCCCAACCACCACCUGUCUCUCCUCGCUCCUACAGCUUUGCGUCCUCCAGAAUUGUCCUGUGAGUGACUCCCGCAGGAUGGAGACUUUUGUGUCUGGCUUCCUUCACUUCGCAGCAGGCUUCGCGGGACCCGUGUGGUGGCACCAGCGUCCAGCCCUUGAAACCCAUGAAAGAGGAUCCUGAAAGAGCAAGGGCAGCCUCCAGGUGAAGGUGGUGGGCGGCCUCCAGGUGAAGGCGGCCUCCAGGUGAAGGUGGUCAGCACCCUACCUUUGGCCAAGAGCAGACUGCAGUUUCAACUCAAAGAUUAUUCCUGAAUGAGUGAGUGACUGCAUCUCUCUUCUCCUCACCCCUGCUGUGGUUGUGUCUCCUCUUCAAGAAAAACCAAUAUGUGGAAAGGCCUAAGUCUGCACAAAACAAAUAUUUAUUUUACAAAAUAUUGUUUUUUGCUUUUCCAGUGCAGCAAGCUUAAACUUCCUUAAAAACAAACCUCUGGGAAGAGGAAAAUGAGGCAAGAUGCUGAGAAAAAGUCAUCUCCCACUCUGCCCUUCUCUGGCAAAUCGAAGUGUCCUCUUGUGGGAGGCGGUGGGCAGCGACACUCCCGUUGGACGUCAGUGCUCUCGGGCCCGGCCACCCCGGAGCAGAACUCACUUAGGGCCUGGUGCCCCUGUGCCCAGUUCUCAGAAUGUCGGAGUGCUCAGUUCUCAGAACGCCGGAGUGCCCCAUUCAUAACCUGCAGCCCCGUUCAUAGCCUGCAGCUCCCCUCCUUCCUCUCCUCCUGGUCUUCAGGGAGCACCCCCAGCUCCCCUCCCCACUCUCAAACCCUCCUCCUCCCUCCCCUCUCUCAGUUCCCUGUUUGCAGGAUCUCCUCCUGCCCACUCUCCAGCCCAGGUCCUCCCCUCUCAUCUCCAAUUCUGCUUCACGGGCCAUGACAGCAGGCAGGCCAUGGCCUGCUCUCAGCAGUUUGAUCGAUGGACUAAGGAGAUCACUCCUACGAGAGUGAAAAAGUCAAGUGUGCCUGAGAUUCGGAUGGGGAGCUCUCAAAGCUAUGGAUUGCAAGAGUCAACACCGCCUCAAAAGUACAAGGCCGGCCGGGUGCAGUGGCUCACACCUUUAAUCCCAGCACUUUGGGAGACUGAGGUGGGUGGAUCACCUGAGGUCAGGAGCUCAAGACCAGCCUGACCAACAUGGUGAAAUCCCGUCUCUAUUAAAAAUACAAAAAAAAUUAGCCAGGUGUGGUGGUGCAUGCUUGUAGAUCCAGCUACUCGGGAGGCUGAGGCAGGGGGAGCACUUGAACCCGGGAGGUGGAGGUUGCAGUGAGCCGAGAUUGCGCCAUUGCACUCCAGCCUGGGCAACAGAGUGAGACCCUGCCUCAAAAAGAUAAAAAAAUAAAAGUACGAGGCCCGGUUUAAAUGCAGGAGGAAUCUGGUGAGCGAGUUUCACUCUGAUGCAACAGAAAAGCCAAGCCAAGCCUUGGCUGUGCCUGAUCUUGGCCGGGGAGCCACAGGCAGGGUCUGCUGGUUUCGGUGUCAGGGGCACAUCGCCAGGACCACGUGUGAGAUGGGAAGUGCCUUGAUGGAAAACUGAUACCUUUUUCUUUCCGAGUAACUUUAGAAUAUGUCGCUUCAAAUAUAACUAAUAUCCUGAUUUCAAUGGACUUGCAUGGAAGGAAACGCAAGUUCAUUUGCCAGUGGGGGGUGAGGACUGGGAGAGUGGGGAGCAGGGUGGGGAAGAGGGGACCAUUCCACAAGCUGCAAGAGCCUGGACACCUCCAGCCUUCAAUAAAUAGCAUUUGAAUUUGCUGUGCCUAAUUCAACCUUGCAUUUGUGUAGUGAAAGUCAGGCCCACGGUGUGUAUAGUUUGGCACAUGAGUUCAGCUCGGGUCCCCUUGAUCUGCUUCUAUGUUCUCACUCUCUCCCUGCCCGGCAUGCCCCUCUUUUUCUAUCCAGAUGAGCGAAGGGGUGAAUUAGUCCAGAAAUGUUUCUGCUCCAGUCAAACAAACAUUAUCACCUGUCAGUCAAACAUUAUCACCUGUCAGUCACCAGAGACGUGCACAGGUGCCUUCUCCUUUGCCUCGAGGUUUCUAUGACCUGGGAAAAGCCCAUCCCAUUCCCGGAUGAGGCUUCCCUGCGACCGGCCACAGACACACGAGCUACGCCCCGCCUUGCCAAAACUUUCAAGGUGGGAUGGAAGAAUCUGUCGUUUCUGCAUUUACGACCCCGUACGUGUUCCGUGCUGCAUCUGUUCUGGUUGGGUUGUCUCUCCUCUCAAGGCCUCUUUUGACCCAAACUUACUGCAAAGCAGAUGAGUGAGCCAGAAGCUGCGCUGGGCGUUGGGGGUUGUGGCAGAGGCUGGGGCUGUAUGUGGGCCGGCAGGCCACGGGCCGACCCACCGCAGGCAGCUUAGCAA